This 5270-nucleotide long non-coding RNA is filed under the name Octopus vulgaris (common octopus). Lineage: Eukaryota; Metazoa; Mollusca; Cephalopoda; Octopoda; Octopodidae. The record is from RNAcentral.
ACCUCUGCAGGAUUAAGUACAAAUUAUUUACUGAGAACCUCUAAACUAUAUUUUUGUUUAGAUUUAUUAUUCUCUGAAAACAUCGAAAUGGAAACCCUAUUUUAUAUAAUCUAAAAUAUUACUGGAUUUACUCCACUGAUCUCAUAAAGACAACUGCAGUUCGAAUCAGCGAAACAUAAACCUCAUUCUGAAUAGAACAUUAGCAGUCGAAGGCAGGUAAUAUCAAUAUUGAUAACACUUAAAUAUCUUACAUUGGACUUAUUUCUAACUCAAGGCAUAAGCUUUAGCUUCUUUGUCCUUGUAAAAUAACACGAAAAGAUCGUUUAAAUUUUCUAAAUUCUAUAUCGUAUAACAACGUAGUUUUGCCUGAGUUGAAAGUCACACUCACCUACCAACAUUAAUACACACACACACACAGCGAUGAAAGAGAGCUCUCGGAAUUAAUCAGCUUUUCAGAGAAGUGUAUAAAUUUUAGAGGAUGUGGUCAUCAAUGUUUACCGCUGAUUAACUAUAUUUUAGACUAUACAUUUUUAAAAAUGGGUGGCACUUUUUUCUUAUAUACUUCAAGGGACCCCUGGAUUUAAAUUAGUAGGAUAUAUGAAAACAUUAUUCGUGAAUAUCACUAUGAUAAUCGACGUACAUCAAUUACCAUUUAUUCAGGGUAAUCAUAUUAUUUUCCACAAAUUGGAUAUUAGAUAAAUCGAAUUUUAUUUGUCACCAGGUUUUAUUCAGUUAUAAGUCAAUACAAUAGCAACCAGUAGAAUUUAAAAUAAAAUAAGAGUGAAACCGAGCAUCGCAAGUGGAAUUCGCAUUAUUACCUUUUUCUAAAACUUACGCACAUACAGCGCGGAGACUCAUCUAGACGGUUCUUUGAAUAUUAAAUUAACAAUGAAUUAUAUUUUCUAACAUUACUUAUAAUAUACUUUUAUUUAGAAAAUAAUUCGCGGGUGAUUUCAAUUGUUCUACUGCUUUAACAAUAAACACCUAGUAUGUACUCUUCUUAUAAUGUGUGAAAAUAUUAUUUCUCGUACACGACCAAGGCGUCUAAAUGCUACGGCUAAAGUACUAUUACAAAAUAUCCACUGAUACACUUUUAAAAUAAGUUAUUAUUGGCCAUUCGGUACCGCCUUUCGUGAAAUUUUAAAGUACAACCGCGGAAUUUUAAUCAAAUUAUUGGUACUACUUAUAAAAUAUAAAGUCUCGUUUAUAUUUUGUAGACGCCUGCACUAUUCUAUCCAUUGGAAUAUCUAAUAUUCACCGUGAUAAGUGUUAUGGAUUUAAACAAUAUUCUUUUUAUCAAUCGAUAAGUGUUCAUAUAAAAAUAUGUUUUCUUACAGUGACAGCUAACUCCCAGCUGUCAACAAAAAAAUAAAAAUGAGAAAGAAAUAUUUUGCAAACAUUGUUUUGCUUCACUAGAAACAUCUAAUAUUUAUUUAGGUUCACUACAUUAGCAAGAAGUGUCCCAAUUUUUGUAUUUGUAUUUUCUUUUCAGUAACAUACAAUUAGCAUCUGAUAUGUGCUCUGAAGGAUAGAUUUAAACUCUCAUAUCCAUUUUGCUAUUUGAUAAUGUUAAGGCGGCUAGCUGUCGGAGUCAUUCGUAGGCCGGGUGAAAUGCUUAGCGGCAUUUCGUCCGUCGUCAUGCUCUGAGUUAAAAGGCCACCAAGGUCCACUUUGCUUUUCAUUCUUUCGGAGUCGUUAUAAUAAGUACCAGUUGAAUAUUGAGGUCGAUGUAAUUGACUUAAUCACUGACGCGGAAGUGCUUACAUCGUGCCAAAAUAUGAAAUCAAUACCUGCAAGGCGGUCAGCUUGUAGAAAUGCUAAGCGAGCCUGGCAAAAUGCUGAGCGACAUUUCGUCCCUCCUCUCGUUCUGAGAUCAAAUUCAGCCGAUGUUCACAUAGCCUUUCGUCCUCUAGGGUCGGUAAAGCAGUACAAGAUAAACACUUGAAAAUUGGCUUUCAAGAUGUCUUAUUUGUUUGCAGUUAACUUGAGAUACGCAAAAUGGUUUGCCUGCAAGAAUUUAUAUGUAUUUGUUUGAUAUAAUGCUAUAACGGUAUUAUACGGAGACGUUAUCACACAAGCGAUGUUGGUCUCCUCAGUCGAACGUUUAUGUUUCAAGUUAUUUAGUUCUUGGGACAGUUUCUGCGUACGUGUUUUGUUUUAAUAAAGAUUAAGUGAAAUAAUUGAUUAAAAUUGAUCUUCAGAAUGAAAGGUUCGACUUCUUUUAGAAAUAAUACAAACGUAAUGAAUAUAUUGUAAUGUGAAAGUGAUGAUAUGAUUUUGAGUUCAAACUUUGGUAGGUACAUUUUGCAAAAGACAAUCAAAAUGUUAUUUUUAAAAAAGUGUAGUUUUAAUAUAUUAUUAGAAUAUAAUUUUUGAACCAGGAAUGUGAGAAUUUAUCGGGAAAGCUAUAAUACAGUGACAAUGCUAAAUUUGUAACAAAAAUCAGAGAGGAGUAUCUUAAUGGGCAUCAAUUCUUUGCCAAUUAUGAGAAAAUAUCCAAUCACAUAAAAGGGAAAAAGUAAAUGUUGGCUUUGUAAAUAAUUAUACGUAAGAAACAUUUAAACAUCAAAUCUCUAAAGAUGUGGGGUUUUUUUUUGCCAUAUGUCCUGUUGAUGCAUGUUAUAAAGAAUUGUAUCGCAGAUAAGAUAAAUUUUUUUUGUAAACUAAAUGCAUUUAUCUGCUCCACGACUAAAAGAUGAUGUUAGCAGGAGAGUUAGAAUUCAAUAUCAUAUUCAUUCAUAUUACUCUUCUUCUGUCCAAUUAGUAAUAAUAGUUUCAUAUAUCACCAUGUUCGGCCUUUAGUUAAUUUAUAUGUUAUUUUUGCAAUUCAAUAAUCGUAAAGUUCUAUUUUUUCUCUCUUCAGAUAUGAAACCAGAAAGAAUUCGAUUUAACCUAUUCUUCAUCCUUUCUAUUUUAUUGUGUUGUGCAGCGAUGACAACACCGGAAAAUGAAACAUUAGUUAAGAACAAUUCAAUAACCGGUCAAAUACUUGUAUCCUGUGCAAUAAUAAUUCUUUGCUUACCGUUUAUUGGCAUGAUCUGUUACCUAAUAAAUAUAAGGUGCCGAUUUGUGAUAUUCGAUAUAUUUUUUCCGAUUAAAAAAGAUAUUGUUUGCUUAAGAAUUGAUGAAAUUUCACCUGAUCCCAGUUUAUAUCAUAUUGAACCUCGACCACGUAGUAACACAAAUAAUUCCCAAAAGUUGUAUUACGAACUGUUGAAUGCAGAUUCACAAUACUGUAAUUCACCUACAAGUACUGAUCAGUCGACAAUUUCGAAUAUUUCAAAUGGUGUUUUAAGUGAAAAUUCUCAAGAAUUAUCAGACCAAGCUCUUUUGCACUAGCUGUAUAAGCAGCCCUUAAAGCACAUUUUCUCUACAUUAGAAGGCUUCUAAUAAUAUAGUUUCUAUACACUAUUGUUUUUGAAUAAUACCUAUUUCAAAUAAUGUCCGUUAACGUGUGUUGAUCACGAAAAAGAAAAACACCGCCUUUGUUUCAAAGUUACACCCUUCUCCAUUGUAGUUAUUCAGUCUUAAUUAUGCAUCUUAUAUUCGAGAAUGCAAAUGACACAUUGAGGAUAUAUCUAUUAGGGAUGUUGUAAAUUAUCGCAUGCAAUAAAGACAGCCACCAAAAUUCAUCCCAGUAUAUGAUGACAUGAUCAUAUGCAAGAAAAUCGCAUCGUCUGUAUCAAAGAUAUAUAUAUUAUAUAUAUCUAAAGCAGUGUAGACUAAGAAACACAUAGCUUGUGUUUAAAAUCCAGUUGAUUUAUAGACUUAAUGUAUACUGUUUGUCAUCUACUGAAAGAAUUGCCAAUACCCGUUUCAAUAAGGCGAAAGCCACAUGAAUUCAUAGGUAAAGCUAAAGCACAGGAAACCUUAAGACGUUUGAGCUGGUUUAAUAAAUUCGUAUCCCUAUACAGCCAAGUGGGCACAUUUUUCCUAAGAACUUGUGCGUAUAAGCAUAAAUAUUUUUCUCAUAUCCAUUUCUGUAAGAUGUCUAUAAAAGUCAUGUUGUUAAGUAACAUUAAUUUCUGCAUGUUUUUUGUCUGGAAACAAUAGUGAAAAAGAAAAUGUGCCUUGUUACACAUGCUGUUAAUUUAUUACAUGUCAUAAAAGAAAAUUAUCUAAACGAUAUGGUCUUGAACCUAAUAAUCCUGUUUUCAAAACUUCGGAAUUCGUUAAAGCUUCACUUAAAUUGCAUUUAUUGAAAAUACAUCUUGUAAAACCAGGAAAACUUGUCAUAAAGCGAGCUGUCGUUAACGAAAUUCUGAAUUCAUUUAAAACGCUGGUAUUUGAAUCAUAAAAGUUACUUUUGAUUAUUAAGUGCAUGGUGGAAAUAUUUUAUGCUUGUUUUUCUUUACCACCAGCUGUCAAACAUGGUUGAGUAUGGUCUUGUUUGUUACAAACAUUGACUGUGUACUUAUCAACAUAAAUUCUAACGCUAAGAAGCUUCAAAUCAAAAUUAAAAUACAGAAUUGUUUCAGGGCUUCAUGUUAUUUAAAUUUUGUUUUUCACCUACAGGAGAAAUUAAUCAACGAAAAUGUGCACGUAAUUUUCCUUUAGAGAUUCUUACAAUGUUUAUUCUACAUUCUUUUGAUGACCGAUAUUGUUUUUUCAUAAAAAAAGUCGCUUUCACAAUCUCUAGGAGAUGCUUACUAAAGUGUGAUAACGGCAGGUUUUAAUUUAUAACUCCAGUGUUUCAAUAUUGAAAUCAAGAAUUGAUCUAGUGUAGUCAUCUGAAUAUAACAGAUGUACGCAUUUUGUACAAAUGCAUGAAAUGAAGCUAUUGUUAACAUACGUACAUAUACGCACGCACAUAUGCCCCUAACUACGCCCUUGUGUAUGUGCACCCUAGUAUAUUUAGUUUAGUUAGUAAAGAUAGAGGUUAAUUGCUUCAAUUCAUAAAUAUAUUCAAUAUAUAAAUACAUUCAAUUGCAUUUUUCAUUCGCUGCUUUGGUUAGUCAGUGCUUUGCCACAGUAGAAUAUCUAAAAUUUGGUUGAAUCACUUGUCAUAUUUUUCUUGCAAAUCUCUUAUAUUUAUAGUUUUUGGGAAGGCUAAAUAUCAAAAAUAUCGCUCUUUACUAAACUGAAAUGGAGGAAGCAAAUGUUCGGCUUAUAUACACUUCAAUAAAGAUAACGUGCGGAAGUCCUUCCGACAUUUAUACACAUAAAUUGUUUAUCUCACCAAUUUCGAUUUAGGCAGUAAUGAUAAAACUUUGAAACGCCGCUCAUAGUUCAGCUUCUUCAUAGACGAACAAUGGAUUCUUUCAAGUCCA